This 262-nucleotide long non-coding RNA is filed under the name Actinidia chinensis (golden kiwifruit). RNAcentral describes it as "long non-coding RNA (ACHI_LNC000086)". The record is from RNAcentral. Lineage: Eukaryota; Viridiplantae; Streptophyta; Magnoliopsida; Ericales; Actinidiaceae.
GGGAUCAUAAGUACCUCAAGGUCACUCGGUCACCCUCAGAUGACUCAUAUUGACCAGUCUUAGAUAGGAUAAGUUUUACCAAGACGUGCAUCAUGUCAAACACUCCAUCAACACGGAAUGGACUUGUACAUGGACUGUCCAUAUAUUGCUGUUGGACUGGAAGAUCCCCGACCCUCCCUUGAUAUUGUCGGAACAGAGAUCCUUUAAUCUCCCAUGAUUUUGUCAUGUCAGAGUUCAAGCAGUGACUCUAGGUUGUCGAACC